Molecule: ribosomal RNA, 497 nt
Filed under: uncultured bacterium
Lineage: Bacteria
Description: partial 16S ribosomal RNA
Rfam family: Bacterial small subunit ribosomal RNA
Source: RNAcentral
GAUGAACGCUGGCGGCGUGCCUAAUACAUGCAAGUCGAGCGAACAGACGAGGAGCUUGUUCCUCUGACGUUAGCGGCGGACGGGUGAGUAACACGUGGAUAACCUACCUAUAAGACUGGGAUAACUUCGGGAAACCGGAGCUAAUACCGGAUAAUAUAUUGAACCGCAUGGUUCAAUAGUUAAUGACGGCUUUGCUGUUACUUAUAGAUGAAUCCGCGCCGCAUUAGCUAGUUGGUAAGGUAACGGCUUACCAAGGCAACGAUGCGUAGCCGACCUGAGAGGGUGAUCGGCCACACUGGAACUGAGACACGGUCCAGACUCCUACGGGAGGCAGCAGUAGGGAAUAUUCGGCAAUGGGCGAAAGCUUGACGGAGCAACACCGCGUGAGUGAUGAAGGUCUUCGGAUCGUAAAGCUCUGUUAUUGGGGAAGAACAGAUGUGUAAGUAACUAUGGACGUCUUGACGGUACCUAAUCAGAAAGCAACGGCUAACUACGUG